AUUGAACGCUGGCGGCAGGCCUAACACAUGCAAGUCGAGCGGAGCGGCGGACGGGUGAGUAAUGCCUAGGAAUCUGCCUGGUAGUGGGGGAUAACGUCCGGAAACGGGCGCUAAUACCGCAUACUAUCAGAUGAGCCUAGGUCGGAUUAGCUAGUUGGUGGGGUAAAGGCCUACCAAGGCGACGAUCCGUAACUGGUCUGAGAGGAUGAUCAGUCACACGGGACCUGAGACACGGUCCAGCUUCCUGCGGAGGGGAGAAGUGGGAAAUAUGGGAAAAUGGGCGAAAGCCUGAUCCACCCAUGCCGCGUGUGUGAAGAAGGUCUUCGGAUUUUAAGGCACUUUAAGUUGGGAGGCGUUCCCAACAGAAUAAGCACCGGCUAACUGCGGGCCAGCAGCCGCGGUAAUAC
Molecule: ribosomal RNA, 407 nt
Filed under: uncultured bacterium
Lineage: Bacteria
Description: partial 16S ribosomal RNA
Rfam family: Bacterial small subunit ribosomal RNA
Source: RNAcentral